This is a non-coding RNA of Ictidomys tridecemlineatus (thirteen-lined ground squirrel), 1838 nucleotides long. NCBI's taxonomy places the organism in Eukaryota, Metazoa, Chordata, Mammalia, Rodentia, Sciuridae. The record is from RefSeq and is a predicted model, not a curated record.
GAGUUGCUUAGGAACUUGCCAAAUUGCUGAGGCUGGCCUGCCAGAGUCUCCCAAGUCACUGGGAUUACGGGUGUGUGCCACUAUGCUAGGUUGAAACCAUGCAUUUGGAAGAGGGGGAAAAUGACAAAGUAAAGGAGAGUCAGAGGAAGACUGAAUUUCUGAAGCAGAAGCCCAUGAAGGCAAGGAGACUCAUUCUUCUGAACUCUGCGCAUUCUUGUCCAGAGAGGCUAUAGGUCCUGGGGUCACUGCAAACUCUUACCCAGCUCUGCCUUUUCAGGGCCCUCCUUCACCAAUAAGGAAGGGGAAUUUUAGAUUUCUCUAAAGUUCUUUGUCCUUUUGAAGGCACUACUAAAAUCCCUGCUGUGAACACAGGGUUCCCAUCCGCCUUGCCUCACCUCCUUGUUCCACCUGUUCCCAUAUCAAUCCAUUCUGCAGAUGGAGGCACAGAACACUUAAGUCUAGAGGCCAGGGGCAGAGUGGGCAUGGAGGUGAUGCUGACUGCCUGCCUAUCCUGUGCCCACACUGCAGGACAGUCUGAAGAGGAUCUCUGCCCGCUUCCACCUCACCCUUUCCUGAUAAGGAAGCUAUGAGCAUUACCGCCUGCCUAAGAGAAACUCCUGACUGAUGUGUGGAAAUGUCUCUCACCCUGGGAUGUGGUCACACGCCCUGUGUCCCAUAUCCACAGCUGCUGUGCCUCGCACAAGGUCCACAGCAGAAGCACAGGUUGUGUUUGUUGUUGUUGUUGUAUUUUUCUUUUUAUGGGUUGCAUUUUUCCCCCUGGGACAAAUAAAACAAGGCAGAUUGUCUAUGCCAGAAUUCCUUUGAACCGGAAAUUAGACUCUUUGCUCCAAGAGACAAGGGGAUUACAAAACACUUUAAAUGUCCUCCUUUUUCUCCUUUUUACUGCAAAGCUCCAAUGAACUCCAAACCCAGGAGUAUUCACCGUAACACAACAGAUUAACCAAAUAGAGCUGGGAAGUCAUUUGGGAUCUUUUUCCUUUACACAGCCUCAUGUGAGCACAGGGCUCGGGGGAGCGCGGGGAGGAGGCUGCCUUAGCCGAGGCGGGCGCAGCUUCACUAGGCGCAGCAAUUACUCUGAAAACAUCUGGAGCAUGAAAUUUUAAAACACCAGAAUUGCAAUGGCUCGAGUUUGUACCUGGGAUAUUUCUUGUGCAAUACCACACCACCAGCGAGGCCUGAAAGAAAGAGUUCCUGGUAUGUAGAUCUGUCCUCCUCCUGGACCUGUGCAGAAGCAAAGGCAGAGAUUUGAAGCCGUCUCCAGCAGGACACUCCAAUCCUCCCUGUCCUCCUGAUUCCCAAGCAGGAGGAAAUCCAGAAGUCACCAAGGACAGCUUAUGUGUUAGCCCCACAGAAGGGCUGCCCAGCUUUCUGCUAUUCUGUGUCCACACUGCAGGACAGUCUGAACAGGAUCUCUGCCCACUUCCACCUCUGAUUCACAGCUACAGGUUCCUAUGACACAAAAGUGCCCUGUCAGAAUACAUGCUCCUUGGAAUAUUUGCAAAAUAGGGUGAUGGAGGAAGAACAUCUGGGCCUCAGCUGCCAUAAAGCACGAGAGUCUGGAAAGCCCAUCAUAGUUGCAGGUUGCCACCCUCUUCUAUGCCCUUUCUGGUACCAUGUUGCUACUGAGAUCUUCCUCAUCUCCUCUCGGGAUCUUCAAAACCAUGCCCCUCAUGCAGAAUCAGACUACAUUUUCAUCUUUGACAGAGCCAAAGGACCCCAGUAGAGAAAAGGAUCCUGCUGAUUUGGAGCAGAUGCCUGAGACUGAAGUGCCCAGAAUGUGAUGAAAAAGGGAAAAUUUGGGGCUGGGGAUGUGGCUC